Molecule: ribosomal RNA, 432 nt
Filed under: uncultured archaeon
Lineage: Archaea
Description: bacterial SSU rRNA
Rfam family: Archaeal small subunit ribosomal RNA
Source: RNAcentral
GGCUACUGCUAUUGGGAUUCGACUAAGCCAUGCGAGUCAAGGUGUCUUCGGACGCCGGCGUACGGCUCAGUAACACGUAGGUAACCUAACCUCAGGACUGAGAUAACCCCGGGAAACUGGGGCUAAUAUUAGAUAGAUAAAAGAUACUGGAAUGUUCUUUUAUCCAAAGCUUUUGCGCCUGAGGAUGGGCCUGCGUCCGAUUAGGUUGUUGGUGGGGUAAUAGCCCACCAAGCCUGCGAUCGGUACGGGCAGUGAGAGCUGAAGCCCGGAGUUGGGGACUGAGACAAGGCCCCAGGCCCUACGGGGCGCAGCAGGCGCGAAACCUCUGCAAUGCGGGAAACCGUGACAGGGGGAUCCCAAGUGCUCAUGCAUUGCAUGGGCUGUUCUUUGGUCUAAGUAACCAGAGGAGUAAGGGCUGGGCAAGACCGGUGC